RNAcentral lists this ribosomal RNA (1522 nucleotides) under Salmonella enterica subsp. enterica serovar Heidelberg. RNAcentral describes it as "bacterial SSU rRNA". It matches the Rfam family "Bacterial small subunit ribosomal RNA". The record is from RNAcentral. Lineage: Bacteria; Pseudomonadati; Pseudomonadota; Gammaproteobacteria; Enterobacterales; Enterobacteriaceae. RNAcentral also lists the same sequence under 5 other names.
AGAGUUUGAUCAUGGCUCAGAUUGAACGCUGGCGGCAGGCCUAACACAUGCAAGUCGAACGGUAACAGGAAGCAGCUUGCUGCUUUGCUGACGAGUGGCGGACGGGUGAGUAAUGUCUGGGAAACUGCCUGAUGGAGGGGGAUAACUACUGGAAACGGUGGCUAAUACCGCAUAACGUCGCAAGACCAAAGAGGGGGACCUUCGGGCCUCUUGCCAUCAGAUGUGCCCAGAUGGGAUUAGCUAGUUGGUGAGGUAACGGCUCACCAAGGCGACGAUCCCUAGCUGGUCUGAGAGGAUGACCAGCCACACUGGAACUGAGACACGGUCCAGACUCCUACGGGAGGCAGCAGUGGGGAAUAUUGCACAAUGGGCGCAAGCCUGAUGCAGCCAUGCCGCGUGUAUGAAGAAGGCCUUCGGGUUGUAAAGUACUUUCAGCGGGGAGGAAGGUGUUGUGGUUAAUAACCACAGCAAUUGACGUUACCCGCAGAAGAAGCACCGGCUAACUCCGUGCCAGCAGCCGCGGUAAUACGGAGGGUGCAAGCGUUAAUCGGAAUUACUGGGCGUAAAGCGCACGCAGGCGGUCUGUCAAGUCGGAUGUGAAAUCCCCGGGCUCAACCUGGGAACUGCAUUCGAAACUGGCAGGCUUGAGUCUUGUAGAGGGGGGUAGAAUUCCAGGUGUAGCGGUGAAAUGCGUAGAGAUCUGGAGGAAUACCGGUGGCGAAGGCGGCCCCCUGGACAAAGACUGACGCUCAGGUGCGAAAGCGUGGGGAGCAAACAGGAUUAGAUACCCUGGUAGUCCACGCCGUAAACGAUGUCUACUUGGAGGUUGUGCCCUUGAGGCGUGGCUUCCGGAGCUAACGCGUUAAGUAGACCGCCUGGGGAGUACGGCCGCAAGGUUAAAACUCAAAUGAAUUGACGGGGGCCCGCACAAGCGGUGGAGCAUGUGGUUUAAUUCGAUGCAACGCGAAGAACCUUACCUGGUCUUGACAUCCACAGAACUUUCCAGAGAUGGAUUGGUGCCUUCGGGAACUGUGAGACAGGUGCUGCAUGGCUGUCGUCAGCUCGUGUUGUGAAAUGUUGGGUUAAGUCCCGCAACGAGCGCAACCCUUAUCCUUUGUUGCCAGCGGUUAGGCCGGGAACUCAAAGGAGACUGCCAGUGAUAAACUGGAGGAAGGUGGGGAUGACGUCAAGUCAUCAUGGCCCUUACGACCAGGGCUACACACGUGCUACAAUGGCGCAUACAAAGAGAAGCGACCUCGCGAGAGCAAGCGGACCUCAUAAAGUGCGUCGUAGUCCGGAUUGGAGUCUGCAACUCGACUCCAUGAAGUCGGAAUCGCUAGUAAUCGUGGAUCAGAAUGCCACGGUGAAUACGUUCCCGGGCCUUGUACACACCGCCCGUCACACCAUGGGAGUGGGUUGCAAAAGAAGUAGGUAGCUUAACCUUCGGGAGGGCGCUUACCACUUUGUGAUUCAUGACUGGGGUGAAGUCGUAACAAGGUAACCGUAGGGGAACCUGCGGUUG